RNAcentral lists this long non-coding RNA (1261 nucleotides) under Portunus trituberculatus (swimming crab). Its description in RNAcentral is "uncharacterized LOC123503409". Lineage: Eukaryota; Metazoa; Arthropoda; Malacostraca; Decapoda; Portunidae. The record is from RNAcentral.
UGAAAGGAAGGACGUCCUUAAUGAGCUAGAUGACCGUGAGCUGGUGAAGAGGUAUUGGCAGGAUCCUGCUGGUAUCAUUUUCGUGACAAAUUUGGUGCGGGAAAGGCUGAAGAGACCAACUGCAAGGAACAAGGCCUCUCUCCCCGAGAUGCAAGUUAUCUUCACUGCGGUACCUCGCUAUAGGAAAGAUGCAGCAGUGCAGCACUGAUGACUUGGGGCCCUCACAACAGACCAUCAGCAGGAUCAUCAGUGAUACAGUGAUACAAUGCCAUCCAACUGGAUGAGUUUCUGCAGAUUGCUGGCUUCCCUGAAGUGAUCGGUGGCAUUGAUGGAACGCACGUAAUGAUUGUGGCUCCUAGAGAGUAUAAGGUAGAGUUUGUCAACAGGAAGAGAUACUACAGCAUCAACGUGUAGUUUGUUUGAUGCUUGAUACCACAUUAUUGAUGUGGUUGCAAAGUGGCCGGGAUCGGUUCACGAUGCAAGAAUACUUGUUCAAAGUGGACUCUGCACGAUAUUUGACAACGGCAUCGUCCCAGCUGGGUGUCACUUACAGGAGAUAGUGACUAUCCCAGCAAGAAGUGGCUACUGACUCCAUACCUCAGACCACAGCCUGGAGCACAGUCUUCUUAUAACAGGGCCCACAAGAAAACCCGCAGCAUUGUUGAGAGGCAUCGGGCAGCUGAAGCGACGUUUUCACAUGCUACACAGUGAGACCCGAGUUGGUCCUCCAUCCAAGGUCUGCAAAAUUGUAGAGGUUUGUGCACUGCUGCACAACAUCUGCAAAGCAAGAAACAUCAUUCUUCCUGAGGAAGAAGAACAUCUUGCUGCAGCCGAGGAUGGAGGCAACGAGGAGCGACUCCUAGCACAGAAAGUUCAAAGUCGCCAUGAAGUAAUCCUUUAAAGGGAUGAAUUUGUUGUGCUUCACUUCAACAUUGAUGAGUGAUGAGACACCAGUGUCAUGACUGCUGAGAUUGGUGUUAUUCUCAUGUGGAUGAUCUCAUCCACAAACACCAGUGAUGUACCAGGCAAGUCUGGCCCCUGUUGGUGCUGCAAGUGGUGUGGCAGGUGCCUCCUCCUCAACACCUACUGCCUCGGUCACCACUUCUCUCUGUUGGGUUGCCUCUGCCACUUCCCCAGCAUCAUCUGCUGCCUGCACACUACUGGCAUCAUUAGUUCUAACUUCAGAAACUAAGCUGAUAAUGUUUUUGGUUUUAUUGCUAAGGACAAAAGUAACAGAAACCAGUAAAUCUAGCUAAGGGUA